This 454-nucleotide ribosomal RNA is filed under the name uncultured Smithella sp. Its description in RNAcentral is "bacterial SSU rRNA". It matches the Rfam family "Bacterial small subunit ribosomal RNA", at positions 925 to 1382 of the family's 1533-position model. The record is from RNAcentral. Lineage: Bacteria; Pseudomonadati; Thermodesulfobacteriota; Syntrophia; Syntrophales; Smithellaceae.
ACAAGCGGUGGAGCACGUGUUAAUUCGACGCAACGCGAAGAACCUUACAGGGCUUGACAUCCCCUGACCGCGUAUGAAAGUACGUUUUCACCCUCGGGUGACAGGGAGACAGGUGCUGCAUGGCUGUCGUCAGCUCGUGUCGUGAGAUGUUGGGUUAAGUCCCGCAACGAGCGCAACCCUUGUCUUUAAUUGCCAUCAUUCAGUUGGGCACUUUAAAGAGACUGCCGGUGUUAAACCGGAGGAAGGUGGGAUGACGUCAAGUCCUCAUGGCCUUUAUGCUUAGGGCUACACACGUGCUACAAUGGGUGGUACAAAGAGAAGCCAACUCGCGAGAGCGCGCCAAUCUCAAAAAGCCAUCCUCAGUUCGGAUUGGAGUCUGCAACUCGACUCCAUGAAGUUGGAAUCGCUAGUAAUCGCGGAGCAGCAUGCCGCGGUGAAUACGUUCCCGGGCCUU